Molecule: long non-coding RNA, 346 nt
Organism: Gossypium arboreum
Lineage: Eukaryota; Viridiplantae; Streptophyta; Magnoliopsida; Malvales; Malvaceae
Exons: 2
Source: RefSeq, a predicted model, not a curated record
GAGGAUCAAAGUCGGAUAGGGGAAAAGAGGAAGUAAACGAAUAGCCGUGGAUAUCUAGUCGUCGACCACUUUCGAGAUCUCAUUUGGAAGCUACAGGCUCGGGGAUCGUCAGCAACUAGUCACACUAUCACUAUCCACUGUUUGGUACUGCUAUGUUUUGGAUUAUCUUAUGGCAUGUAUAGAAUAGACUAGUAGUGGGAGGAUAUUUUGGUUAAUGUAUAUAAGCCAUGCGAAAAUGGCUUUAAGUAUACUUUGAUCAUAGCAUUAUAAUCAUUUUGUAUGUCGUCCGUCGAGAGGUAUGGAAAUGUUGGUAACGGUUAGUCAUGGGAAUGGUUAUUCAUGAUUA